GAAGUAUGUUCCCUGGACCAGCGGUAUCAACAUCACCUGGGAAGAUGUAGAAGCACAAAUUCUCCUGCCUACUCCAGACCUACAGAAUUAGAAACUCUGGGGCUGGAGCUCAGUAAUCGGUGAUUUACCAGUCCUCCAGGUGAUUCUGAAACAUGCUCUCGUGUGAGGACCACUGCUGUAAAGGCAAGUCUGUCCACUUGUAAAACCCUGUGAUUCUACCUUGCCUGAUAAUCUUCACCAACUCGAAACUGUAGUGAACUCCGUAUCCUCUCAUUAAGCAGACCUCUUGGCCUCAAAAGGAGAUUCCCUGUGCUCUGUGCCUGUUAUUAAGGUCAGAAGAACCUACUCCUGCACCCAAACUCACCAUCUGCUUACCCGGCAGUGUCCUUAAGAGGAGAUUCGGACACAGAUGUGCACCAAGGGAAGACCCUGUGAAGAUACAGGGAGAAGACGGCGUCUGCAAGCCAAUGAGAGAGGCCUCAAAAGAAAUCAACCCUGCCAACAUCCUGAUCUCAGACCUCCAGCCUCCAAAACUGCCAGGUGACUCAAAUGUGUGGACUUUUGCUGCUGAAGUAUUGUAAAGAUGGAUUAUUCUGACCUAGGAAGAUGUGAGACCAUGCCAGGGAGCUGAAGACAAGGUUUUCCUGAAGGGGAAAGGAAGGUUUCAUUGUGAAAGAUCUCUCUCUCUCUCACUCUGGAGAAGGAGGAGGAGGAAGAAAAUGGUGAGAUUCUUAAGACAAGGAGGCAAAGCUUUUCCUUUUUUCUUGGUUUCUGGAAAUAGUCAUAUUUAGAACACAGUUUUUCUACAUUAUAAUUCCCUCUAGUUACUCUUCUCCUUAGCCACUAAGUUUAAUAAAGGCUGUUAUACAGAAA
Molecule: long non-coding RNA, 873 nt
Filed under: Equus asinus (donkey)
Lineage: Eukaryota; Metazoa; Chordata; Mammalia; Perissodactyla; Equidae
Description: lncRNA (ENSEASG00005024227.1)
Source: RNAcentral